Mesocricetus auratus (golden hamster) is the source of this 1048-nucleotide long non-coding RNA. RefSeq lists it as uncharacterized. The transcript is spliced from 2 exons. Lineage: Eukaryota; Metazoa; Chordata; Mammalia; Rodentia; Cricetidae. The record is from RefSeq and is a predicted model, not a curated record.
AAGCCCCCUCACCCUCAUUGGCUGCUUCGAUCUUCAGCUCCAGCAUGUUGUCAGCACCGAUCAGAAGUGGGGAGUCGCCCCUGUGUGUGCAGGGGUCACUGGUUUAGGACUGGAGGCCAGGAGGAGGAGAGGGGCCUCAGAAAGUGCUCGAAGGCCUGUCAUGACUGGCUGGAUGCAAUCCACAGGCACCUGGGUAUCCAUUGUCAUCGAUGUCUACAACACCACGAAGGGAGAAGCCAAAGCCAGAGCCUCUGGGGAAAGGGCUGUCCAGGACCUGGGAGGGGCGCGGAGUCAGCCCCUCACUCCGACCCAGGAACACCAGCACUUGGCCCUGACCACUGGGGCCCCCAUAGGGGGCAGCCACAGCAACAUCUGGAGAGAGAGAAAGAGUGUGCUAUUUGUGAUUGAGUCUCCCCAGGCGAUGCUGCCAAUCUCCCCCGAGGCUUCUUUAGGGAGGCCCUGGGGGAACAGGAAAAGGGUACAAAGUCUGUAUCAAAGAAGCAGGAGAGAGAUCAGUCAAGUUUUGCUUUUUGGGUUUUUGUUUGUUUGGUUUUGGUUUUUGCUUUUUCGAGACAGGGUUUCUCUGUGGCUUUGGAGGCUGUUCUGGAACUAGCUCUUGUAGACCAGGAUGGUCUGGAACUCACUGAGAUCUGCCUGCUUCUGCCUCCCGAGUGCUGGGAUUAAAGGCGUGCGCCACCAACGCCCGGCAGAGAGAUCAGUCAAGUAUUAACAAUUGGUAUAAAAGCUCCAACAGUCCUCCCUGUCCAUUAAGGGAAACACACCAACAAGAUUCCAUUUACUCCCAACAAUUGGAUGUUGUUAUCCUAUUCACUAUUAUUGUUAAUUUGAGACAGGGAUUUUUGUUUGCUGGUUGGUUGGUUUGGUUUUUCUGAGAUAGGGUUUCUCUUUUGUAACCCUGACUGUUCUGGAACUUGUUGUGAAGACUAUGCUUGUCUCAGACUCAGAGUUCUGACUGCCUCUGCCUCCCUGUGUUGGAAUUAAAGAUGUUGGAAACCAUGCCCGUGAGACAGGGUUGUGGUAUAUGUCA